Molecule: long non-coding RNA, 586 nt
Organism: Oreochromis niloticus (Nile tilapia)
Lineage: Eukaryota; Metazoa; Chordata; Actinopteri; Cichliformes; Cichlidae
Exons: 2
Source: RefSeq, a predicted model, not a curated record
AGACUAGCUGAGCACUGGGGAGGGAGAGGCCCCAGAUAUGAGGAGGAAUGUGUGAAGGCCAGGUGAAAAGAGGGACCUGCUGCUGGAUCAUGGGGGUGCGACGCCUAAUCUGGAGAUGGGUCGGCCAGCGUGAUGUGGCGACCCAGUCCUGACAGCAAGGAACGGCGACAGUAGGAGCAGCUACUGGACAGGAUUGGCAGCAGGGCAGAGGUAUACCUCUGCCUGCAUUUGGCGCUGAAGCGAGGAGAGCCAUGGUGGCAUCGCAAGACGGACUCUGGUGGAGAACGCGAGCUGGGCUGGGAUGCGAUGGGCCCAGUGAAGGGACAAGAGGAGGAGAUAGGAGGCUCCUCCUUGUCUGCCGGAGACAAGGCUAGCAUGGACCCCGCUCUAAAGAAGGAAUUCCUGGCCUGCUGGUGGACCCAUCAUGAACAUGCAUCCAGGGUGUGGGACAUUGCAUCAGGGGAUUUUAUGAGUUUUAGUCUCCAUGGGGAUUUUAGUAUAUAGAUAAUAUUUUAUUGUGUACGUCUUUUAAGCAUUGUUGUUUUAUUGGUGCUCCCUGGCCUGGGAAUAAACUGGUUUCCGAUCA